This 756-nucleotide ribosomal RNA is filed under the name uncultured bacterium. RNAcentral describes it as "bacterial SSU rRNA". It matches the Rfam family "Bacterial small subunit ribosomal RNA", at positions 8 to 796 of the family's 1533-position model. The record is from RNAcentral.
AGAGUUUGAUCAUGGCUCAGAAUCAACGCUGGCGGCGCGCUUAACACAUGCAAGUCGAGCGAGAAAGUGGAGCAAUCCAUGAGUAAAGCGGCGUACGGGUGAGUAACACGUGGGGCAUCUACCUCUUAGUGGGGAAUAACUCUGGGAAACCGGAGCUAAUACCGCAUAAGCCUGGAAAGGGAAAGCAGCAAUGCGCUGAGAGAGGACCCCGCGGCCGAUUAGCUAGUUGGUGAGGUAAAGGCUCACCAAGGCAAAGAUCGGUAGCCGGCCUGAGAGGGCACACGGCCACACUGGCACUGAAACACGGGCCAGACUCCUACGGGAGGCAGCAGUGGGGAAUCUUGCACAAUGGGGGCAACCCUGAUGCAGCGACGCCGCGUGAGCGAUGAAGCCCUUCGGGGCGUAAAGCUCUUUCGGCCGGAACGAUAAUGACGGUACCGGAAGAAGAAGCUGCGGCUAACUACGUGCCAGCAGCCGCGGUAAUACGUAGGCAGCAAGCGUUGUUCGGAGUUACUGGGCGUAAAGAGUGCGUAGGCGGUUUCCUAAGUUUGGUGUGAAAUCUCCCGGCUUAACUGGGAGGGUGCGCCGAAGACUGGGGAGCUAGAGGAUGGGAAAGGCAAGCGGAAUUCCUGGUGUAGCGGUGAAAUGCGUAGAUAUCAGGAGGAACACCGGCGGUGUAGACGGCUUGCUAGACCACCCCUGACGCUGAGGCACGAAAGCGUGGGUAGCAAACAGGAUUAGAUACCCUAGUAGUCC